Molecule: ribosomal RNA, 194 nt
Filed under: Rubia sylvatica
Lineage: Eukaryota; Viridiplantae; Streptophyta; Magnoliopsida; Gentianales; Rubiaceae
Description: 5.8S ribosomal RNA
Rfam family: 5.8S ribosomal RNA (bases 5-160)
About the family: 5.8S ribosomal RNA (5.8S rRNA) is a component of the large subunit of the eukaryotic ribosome. It is transcribed by RNA polymerase I as part of the 45S precursor that also contains 18S and 28S rRNA. Functionally, it is thought that 5.8S rRNA may be involved in ribosome translocation.
Source: RNAcentral
ACACGACUCUCGGCAACGGAUAUCUAGGCUCUCGCAUCGAUGAAGAACGUAGCAAAAUGCGAUACUUGGUGUGAAUUGCAGAAUCCCGUGAAUCAUCGAGUUUUUGAACGCAAGUUGCGCCCGAAGCCAUCCGGCCGAGGGCACGUCUGCCUGGGCGUCACGCAUCUCGUCGCCACCCCCUCCUCCCCGUCCUC